This is a long non-coding RNA of Hemicordylus capensis (graceful crag lizard), 1274 nucleotides long. RefSeq lists it as uncharacterized. The record is from RefSeq and is a predicted model, not a curated record. NCBI's taxonomy places the organism in Eukaryota, Metazoa, Chordata, Lepidosauria, Squamata, Cordylidae. The transcript has 2 exons.
UGAUAUUCGACCCAGAACAUUUAGGAAACAUUUCUUGUUUCUCUUGGGAAAUAAAUUUAUUGGAGGCAGGAGGCUUUUCUCCCUCAGAGCUGCAACAUGGCGGCUCCAUGCUACCGAGGGUCUGUCUGGAUUGCCACGUUUUGUCAGAGAGAAUUCCUGGACGCAACUGUCAAGAAAGCAGGGAGGCGCACAUUUCAAACCCUGCUCUUGUGACAGGGGUUGGAAAGAGUGGCGCUUGGCACCUAGUUUGGGGAGCAGUAGCUGGGGGUGUCUCUUCCGCAGAGCUUCAUCUUUCCUGUUGUAGCAAUAAAGGGCAGUUGGCUUUUAAGGCCUGUUGCUCCUUGUGUUCCUUCCUGCCACUCCACAUAUAGGAGAUACUCCCUGUGGGCUAAGAGGGGCCUUCAAGGUGCUGCAUCAAGCAGUGAGAGUUCUAGAGCAAAGUGGGACCCCAACAAGGCCUCUAGAGAAAAGGGCCCCCCUCCGUGCUUCUACUUCACAGCUAAUCCCAGAGGCCCACUACCACCCCCACGAUUCUAGAGAUGAUCCAGAAAGGAGGAGAAGGGAUUUUCUGAGCCAUACAUAGAGAGCCAGCCUAGCCAAUCAGCAGCACUAGUGCCAGACAAAGGAUUCGGAAUUGGAGCCUGUUGACCAAUGCUGUUUUACAAGAUCAACUUCCACUUCCAGUUGACCAAGAGGCAUCUCGAAAUGGAGGUCACUGUGUCAUUGUAGUGGACUCUUUCAUUCAUAUUUCUACUUCACGGACUUCAUUGCUUCUUUUGAAUAUACCGUGUAUGGAUUAACUUGUUCAUGUGUUGUACUCACUUCCACAUUAUGGACUUUAUUGCUCCUCUCUGAAUAUAUAAUUGUUUUAGCAAUAUUUUCCAUUUUACUUACACUGAAUAUAUUUUCUACUAUAGAAUCAUUCUACUAGAUUAUGUUCAUUCUCUCCCCCUGCCACCUUAUAGGUCAGUCUGGUGGGAGAGUCUUCUUGGUUUCUUGUGGUACAUAUAUAGAAAUUGGUGACUUUUUAUGGUAUCCCUAGAAUCGGAGCCUUUCACUUUUUAAAGAGCAAGUUCCUAAUCUCUUUAGUGACCAGUCUGGAAAGUGUUCCUGCUUUGUUUCAGCUCAUACUUCUUGUCUGAACAUGCAUGCAGAUAAAUUCUGAUUUUAUUUAUAUUGGUUGAUAAAUCAGUGAUGUAAUGCAUGUAUUAAUAAUUCAGUUCUCUUCAAGAGACCCUGUAUUGCACAAAAAUAAAAGUUGGUACACAUCAAAA